GCGUUAUUAGUAUAGAGUUAGAAUAUUUGCAUAGAAAGCCAUUCUCCCGGGUUCGACUCCUGGAUGACGCA
Molecule: transfer RNA, 71 nt
Filed under: Smittium mucronatum
Lineage: Eukaryota; Fungi; Kickxellomycota; Harpellomycetes; Harpellales; Legeriomycetaceae
Rfam family: tRNA
About the family: Transfer RNA (tRNA) molecules are approximately 80 nucleotides in length. Their secondary structure includes four short double-helical elements and three loops (D, anti-codon, and T loops).
Source: Rfam by way of RNAcentral